UACGGAGGGGGCUAGCGUUGUUCGGAAUUACUGGGCGUAAAGCGCACGUAGGCGGCUUUGCAAGUUAGAGGGGAAAGCCCGGGGCUCAACUCCGGAAUUGCCUUUAAAACUGCAUCGCUAGAAUUGUGGAGAGGUAAGUGGAAUUCCGAGUGUAGAGGUGAAAUUCGUAGAUAUUCGGAAGAACACCAGUGGCGAAGGCGACUUACUGGACACAUAUUGACGCUGAGGUGCGAAAGCGUGGGGAGCAAACAGG
This 253-nucleotide ribosomal RNA is filed under the name uncultured bacterium. RNAcentral's name for it is "partial 16S ribosomal RNA". It matches the Rfam family "Bacterial small subunit ribosomal RNA", at positions 524 to 776 of the family's 1533-position model. The record is from RNAcentral.